RNAcentral lists this small RNA (6419 nucleotides) under Mytilus galloprovincialis (Mediterranean mussel). Lineage: Eukaryota; Metazoa; Mollusca; Bivalvia; Mytilida; Mytilidae. The record is from RNAcentral.
AUGGAUGUAUAUCGGAUAUACCAUGUAGCAAAGGUAUCCUUGGUUUUUCAUUUUUGCGUUUACGACAAAUCUUUAAUUGUUUCUGUUCCAUUUUUCAUAUAUUUUCUAAAAUUUGAAAUGAUUUUGAGCUCGUCAUUGUGUAGGGACACUUGUUAAUUGGUGAAGGUUGUAUAUUAACCUUUAUAUAUGUUGGUCAUUUGUAUAUUUGUGUCAAACUUUCGCGUGAACUCCCACAUCUCCUUCAGCAUAGUUUUUUUUAAACCAAAUUACGAGUAUCAACAUUGAAUAAACUCCGGUUGCCUCUUAUUGUAUGCAGUUGUACAUGCAUGCUUUGAAAACAUCCUUGACAAAUACUAGGACAAUUUUUUCAAUAGAUAUUUGUAACUAGGUUUACUACUGCAUAGAAACACAUAGUAGUUCAAAAAGUAUUACUGAACAAGAAUGUGUCCCCAGUACACAGAUGCCCCAUCCGCAAUAUCAUUUUCUUUGUUCAGUAGACUGUGCAAAUGGGGGGCACACCUCUAAUUUGGCAUUAAAAUUAGAACGAUCAUAUCAUAGGGAACAUGGGUACUAAGUUUUAAGUUGAUUGGACUUCAACUUCAUCAAAAACUACCUCGACUAAAAACUUUAACCUGAAGCGGGCGAAGACGGACGAACGAACGAACGAACUGACGCACAGGCCACAAAACAUAAUGCCCACAAAUAGGGUAUGGAAACAUGAUCAUAAUGUAGUGUGUUGGUGGUGUCUUUGAUAGGUGUUUUGUUUCAAUAUAUAUUUUAACUUCUUCGUACGUAUAGAAGGGAACAUCCGCCAAAAUUAAACAAUUCUUAAUUUGUGAAAUAAAAAUUUCUUAAUUCGUAACAUGCAAUUUCUUAAAUUGUAAAAUGCGAUUUCUUAAUUUGUAACAUGUAUUUUUUCCAUCCGUUACAUUAAUUUCUACAUUUCUUAAUGUGUAAACACAAGUUCUUAAUUUGUUAACGUAAUUUUCAUUAUUUGUUACAUGAAUUUUUACAUUUCUUAAUUUGUGAAAUGUAGUUACUUUGUUUAAACACGUUUUGUGAGAUGUGUCUGUGUAAUUGUUACCGCUGCUUACCAAUGAAAAAAUGUUCGUUUCUAAAUCAAAAUACAAAUUACAAAUCAACGUGUUACAAAUCAAAAAGUUUGACAAGUCUAGGAAUACAAAUAUAGAAUAAAAAAUCAAUUGUUCAGAGAACCAUUGAUGGUCUUUCCGCCAGUUAUGAUUUUUUUUAUAUGAAAAUAUUAAAGUAUGGUUUUAAAUGUCAAUUUCAGCGUCAAAUGACAACUUAUUGUAUGCUGAUUACAAAAAUAUAAUGUUUCUAUACAAAAAGAUAUAAAUAAGGGAGAUAAUUUUCUACUUCCGGUUCAAAAUAUGUUACUUCCGGUCCUGUCUUAUAGUUUACUUGACGCUGAUUCCAAAAAUAUAUUGUUUUACAUACUUAAACAAUAAUUUAGCUACUUCCGGUUUACAAAAGGUCACUUCCGGUUAGCUUUUUUAACGUCAUAUUGCUUGCAACCUAAUGCAAAAAAUCUAACAGCUUUAACAUGACUACAUAUGAGGUAAAAGCAAAGGUCAAAAUCUAGAACUUUUGAAUUAACAUAAGACCUUGAGCUCAAUUUCAAGGUCAUAAGCCAAGGACCUAAAAUCAAAAGACUCUAGGUCUUUACUUUAUAUUGUUAAUGAGUUAUAUUAACAUACGACUGAUAUUAUAUAUUAAAGGGGGGAAAACUCGCAUCAAAUGUGUAUGUACCCUUUCGACUAAAAUUUAUGUGUAACUACAUGUCGCGACUAACAAUUGUGUGAAAAUAUUUUGUCGAUAUCUUAUAAGAUUUCUGAAAAUGAGAGAUAACAAGCCAAAAUAAAAAUUUUGAACAUGACCUUGACCUUUGACCUUGACCUCAUUUUAAUUUUUUUGAACCAAGGACCUCAAAUCAAAAGACCCUAGGUCUCUAUCACUUAUGGUUUACCAGUCAGAAAUGCAUAUCCCUUUUAUCAUUUACAAAAGGGGGAUGACUCUCAUAUGGAGUCACCGGAUAGCUUUGAUUAAAAUUAAUCAAUUCAUCCUGAGGAUAUUCCGAGCAAUUUGGUAAACUAAAUUUGUCGGUUUCUUAUACGGUUGCGACAUAUAAGUAAUAACAAGAAAAACAGUGUUCGGGGAGAUAACUCUUAGUAUACAUGGAAAAGUUUUUGGUUACGCGGUGUCAGUUUUAAAAGCGUAUUAACUGUUCGAUAUAAUAUACCAUAUAUCUAAGCGACAUCUUGCGAAACAAAACAAAAAACAGCGAUUGAAAAAAAAUUAGGCGGAAAAAAAAUAAAUAAUAAUCAGCAGAAGAAAAGCAAUAGGUCUUUCCACGGAAAAGUGGAAAGAUCUUAUAAAAUAGUACACGAGGUCGUUGUGGAGCCAUGCCAACUCGUACCUUCGCACACUCGUACCUAAUAUUUACAAACUCGUACUUCUACCAACUCAUACCCAAUAUUUACGAUUUAUAUCUAGUAAAGUUGUUAUAUUCUUUUCCUUGAUAUCAAAACAUACACAUAAAAUUAAGUGCAACUGCAUUGAUUGGUAAUCUGAUUAAAUAAGUUUUCAAAUCAGACAUGUCUAAUUGAAAGUUUACCAUUUCAAAUGUCUUAAACAAUCAGCUCUAUAUUCCGGACACGGUAUAAGACGAAUCGAAAGUAAACAGAGCGUACUUAUUUUUCGUCAACAAAUUUACACACGACCCUAAAAGGGUCUUAUUCUAGUUAUACACCAAAAAUCACAUGACAGUGACAGGGCGUUUCUCGAACGAAUGCUCCACCAACUUAAUUCUUGCAGAUAGCGAAUAUUUAAAAACGAACGACAGGCAAGAUAAUGUAGCCGUGAUAGCCAGUGUGAAAGGAGGUUCAAGGAUGAUGAUAGAUUGCAUGAUUGAAGGAUCCGCUAUUACAUGGAAAGUUAAUACCGGAUCAAGGAGAACAUUUAUCACAGAACAGAGCUACUAUAGUAUAAUGCCGGAGUGUAGAACUGUGCUGAGCCGAGUAGAUAACAAUUUGAAACUGCAGAUGGAAGUACACUGAAUAUUUUAGGCAUGGCUGUAAUGAACAUUAGUUUUGGUGAAUUUUGUGCUGCAUUUCCAAUUUAUGUUGGAGGUGUUAAAAUUAAUUUAUAUAUAGGUGAAGAUUUUAUUUCUAAAUAUCGAUGUCAAUGGAAUUUCGACUCGGGAUCAUUAGAUAUUUACGGAUUUACAGCUCCGCUUGAGCAAGAUAGUGUCAAUGUGCGAUCUAGUCGUGUUAUAGCAAUGGAAACCAUAGACAUUCCUGCGAGACAUGAAAUAAUUGUAAAAGCUAAGCUCACUAGAGAAGUGUAUGCUGAAAAUAAUUCAGAAGUGUUUGGAAUUUUGUGCCCUGAUAGUAAUUUCAUGAGGAAGUAUGGAUUAGCUAUUGGAAGAGUUUUAGUGAAUGCAUCACGUUCGCAUAUUUAUUCGAGGAUCCUAAACCCUUGUGAUACCGAUAUUAUUCUUUACAAAGGCACUCAUAUUGGAUUGUUCGUUCCAGCUCAGAAAAUUGUGAGUGACAUUGGAUCGAUGGAGGAAGAGACCGUUUGUAAUGUUCGGGAAAUGGACACGGAUCCACAAGAAAUUCCACAGUAUAUGGCGGAAAUGUAUAGUAAUGGAAGAGAAAACCUCACAGAGAGUGAAGGCGAGAGCUUUAAGGAAAUCCUGCUGAAGUACAGAGAUAUUUUCUAUGAUCCAGCAGGAGAACCAGGAAAGACAACAAUUGGUAUGCAUAGUAUCAAAUUGAAAGAAGAAAUUCCAGUAAAGGAACCCCCAAGACGAGUACCUCUUUAUAAACGUCAGGCAAUUGAAGAUGAAAUCAAGAAAUUGGAGGAUAAGAAAGUUAUUGAAAAGUCUAAUAGCCCGUGGUCUUCAGGCCUAGUUUUAGUGCAAAAGAAAGAUCUUUCAUGGCGGCUGUGUGUUGAUUACAGGAAAUUGAACGAUAAGACGAUAAAAGAUGCCUAUCCGAUCCCUAGAAUAGAGGAUAAUAUAGACGCACUCAGUGGAGCAAAGUGGAUGUCAGUUUUGGACCUGAGUAUGGCUUAUCAUCAGGUGCCGAUGAAUCCAGCAGAUAAGGAAAAGACUGCAUUUUCGACACCCAGAGGUGGGUUAUACCAAUAUGUUACGAUGCCAUUUGGAUUGUGCAACGCAGGAGCUACGUUUCAAAGGAUUAUUGAGACAGCAAUGCGAGGAUUGCAGUGGCAUGUUCUAGUUUUGUACCUAGAUGAUAUUAUAGUGUUUAGUGAAACAUUUGAUGAACAUUUGGUUAAUUUGCAGAAAGUCUUUCAGAGGUUAUCAGAUGCUGGAUUAAAGCUCAAGGCUGCAAAGUGUAGUUUUUUUUAAACACGAGGUAGAGUAUCUCGGACAUAUUGUGUCAACCGAGGGGGUGCGGACGGAUCCUUCUAAAGUACGGGCAAUAGUCAAGAUGGAGUCUCCGCAAAACGUUUCCGAAUUAAGAUCUUUCAUUGGACUAGUUUCUUAUUACAGAAGAUUUAUCAAGGAUUUUUCGAAAAUUGCUAAGUGUCUUUUUGACUUAUUGCAGUUAAAAGCUCACUGGGAGUGGAACAAGUUGUUGUGAACAGACUUUCCGGUUACUUAAAGAAAAGCUUUCAAGCUCACCUGUACUUGCAUAUCCAGAAAUCGACGGAGAAGAGUUUAUAUUAGAUACAGAUGCGAGUCAUUUUGGAAUUGGAGCAGUUCUGUCUCAAGUUCAAGAAGGAAAAGAAAGAGUGAUAGGAUACGCAAGCAGAACAUUAAACAAACCUGAACGGAAUUAUUGCGUAACACGAAAAGAACUAUUGGCAGUAGUUUACUUCAUUAAAUAUUUAGGAGGGAGAUUUAUUGGCACGUAGUUUACUUCAUUAAAUAUUUUAGACAUUAUCUUACUUAUUGGUCGUCACUGUCAAAUUAAGAACGACCAACGGUCCACUUCACCAGAACCGGUCAAAUAAAGAGAAGGAUACAAGCAACCAAGUAGGCUUAUGACUUUAAAAUUGGUUCACAGACGCAGGUUUGAAACACCAAAUGAGAUCUAGAUGCAUUAUCUAGAAUAAUUGCUAACUGAUACUGAAUUCUGGUAAACAUAUGCAUGCUACCAUGGAAUUAUGUGAAUAACAAGUGGCAAGUGACAAAAGUGAUAGCGCUAAUAUCAUAGACCUAAUAAUGGUGAAACUCAAACUCACAAAUAAUCAAGUUUGUAUUGACGAGCAGCGAAAAUAGACUUGGAUUCAGAAGAUCUUCCGAAAAGAAGAGGACCGAAACGUUAAUGCUCCGAAGUAGAGCAAAAGGGCUGGCAGAAACCAGUUUAUUGAUUUGAUCAACGGAAUAUAUACGGGGAAUUGCAGUGAAUGACCCGGUAUAGUUCGAGUUUUUUAAACUGUAAAGAGGAAAAAAGAGACAAAACCAAACAAGUGAUUCUGUUGUGGCAUUUCAGUCAGACAAACGAAAUUUUUGGACAUAAGUCGAUCGGAUUACUGGGGAAUCAAGAAUGGUAGUUAUUGCGAAUACUGGGAAGGAUCGGUCCCGCCUUUCAACGGGCUGUUGUGCUCGCCGUGGGAAAUUUCAAAAGUUGAUUUUAUGGCAGAUCUCCGAUUCAGCAACUCUCAAGGAACAAUCAAGGCCAUCAAUGGACUGCAAGAGCCAAAAUUGUGUCCAUUUUACUGGAAAGGAAAUGAGGCAAAGUGUUCAUUAUGUAAAAAGCUGCGAAUAUGGAAGAAAAAAAGGACCAAAGUAUAUCAAAGAGACAAGGUUUAAAUCUUGAUUUACGGAGGGCGUUUGAAAGAAUUGGAACAGAUAUAGCUGGACCCAUUUCCCAUUUGCUAACAAAAUGGAUAUUGUUACAAAUUGUAGUAAGUUGAUGAUUAUUUCACUAAUUCAAAGAAUGUUUCCAAUACCUAAUAUGGAAGCNNNNNNNNNNNNNNNNNNNNNNNNNAAAACGGUCGCCGAGGUGAUGCUUAAAGCUGAAUAAAAGAUAUGGAUGUCCACUAGAAUUGCAUAGUGACCAAGGUAGACAGUACGAAAGUCAGUUAUUUCAACUAUAUGCAAAUUCUUAGAAAUAGAUAAGACAAGAACGACACUAGGUCACCCUAGAUCAGAUGGAUUAGUAGAGCGUUCGAACAGAACGUAUAAAGACAUGAUAUCAAAAUAUGUGCGCACCGAUCAGAGAGACUGGGACCGAUGGAUUGACUUCAUGGCAAUGGCAUAUAAUUCUACUCCUCAUCAAAGCACUGAAAUUUCGCCGUUUUGGAUGAUUUUCGGGGAAGAAAUGAGAAUGCCAUUAGACGUAGUUUUAGCGGAGGAAUUAUGCGAGAAUGAUAGUGAAUUAGUUAGCAAACACGAUCAUGUUAUGAAACUUCAAGAUAAAUAA